This 56-nucleotide transfer RNA is filed under the name Triticum aestivum (bread wheat). It matches the Rfam family "tRNA", at positions 10 to 63 of the family's 71-position model. Rfam says of the family: Transfer RNA (tRNA) molecules are approximately 80 nucleotides in length. Their secondary structure includes four short double-helical elements and three loops (D, anti-codon, and T loops). RNAcentral also lists the same sequence under 1 other name. The record is from Rfam by way of RNAcentral. Lineage: Eukaryota; Viridiplantae; Streptophyta; Magnoliopsida; Poales; Poaceae.
GCUCAGUUAGUAAAGCACAAGGCUCUUAACCUUAUGGACGUGGGUUCAAGCCCCAU